UACGUAGGUGGCAAGCGUUGUCCGGAUUUACUGGGCGUAAAGAGCGCGCAGGCGGUCGUUCAAGUCGCGUGUGAAAGCCCCCGGCUCAACUGGGGAGGGUCACGCGAUACUGAUCGACUCGAAGGCAGGAGAGGGUAGUGGAAUUCCCGGUGUAGUGGUGAAAUGCGUAGAUAUUGGGAGGAACACCGGUGGCGAAGGCGGCGUUCUGGACUGCAACUGACACUGAGAAACGAAAGCCAGGGGAGCAAACGGG
RNAcentral lists this ribosomal RNA (253 nucleotides) under uncultured bacterium. RNAcentral's name for it is "partial 16S ribosomal RNA". It matches the Rfam family "Bacterial small subunit ribosomal RNA", at positions 524 to 776 of the family's 1533-position model. The record is from RNAcentral.